Long non-coding RNA from Gavia stellata (red-throated loon), 5669 nucleotides. RefSeq lists it as uncharacterized. The record is from RefSeq and is a predicted model, not a curated record. Lineage: Eukaryota; Metazoa; Chordata; Aves; Gaviiformes; Gaviidae. The transcript is spliced from 9 exons.
UUAGAGCUGAAAGAUGAAUCUUCAAGGCUAUGACCAGCUCCUUCAUUCCUUCUAUCAUCCCCAAGGCUAAAAAAAAACACCUGUAGCUUUGUACACUUUCCUAGUCCCCUCUGAGAAAUGCCACCCAUGGUCCGGCACCCCAAAACUCACCCUAUUCUUCCUCCUGGGCAUCUCUUUCUGUUCAGGAUUUAACAGCUAGUAUUGGGAAGCAGGAAAAUACUUGGCUAAACAGAAAGGAUUUGCAUGCAGAGCAGCUGCUUUCAUGAAUGAGAUGAGCAUGUGCAAAACUCUCCAUUAUCAGUGUGUAACCUGCUCACAAAUAUUUAAAUAGUGGUGAUUUGUGAAAAUCCUGCAAAGUGUGUCAUCAGUCUUUCUUCAGCUAAAAAAAAAAAAAAGGCGGGGGGUUAUUUUUCAACUUGGCUAUUUGCUUGAUUUAAGUGCGCUCAGCCAUGUGUUGAGGGCACAAAAAGACAGAAGCAAGUAAUUAAGCAGACCAGUUGCACUCCACAAAUAACAAAUAAUUGAGAUGAAGUGUUUAGAGACAGUUCAUAGGCUAAAAGUCAUUUUACAUGACUAGUGAGUGCUUGUGAAAAAUAUACGCACUUGUGCGAGAAAGGGGUGGCUCAUGAAUAACAUGCAAACCAGAAAUAAGGUAUCAAAUCUGGAAAAGGAUUUUUUGAGACUUUUAUCACCUUGCUGUGUUGGUCUAAAAGUCUAACUAGACCCAUAGGCACUCUCAAGUAGUCAGCAGAGAGGUCUGUACACUUAUUAAAUGAGUUGCCUCUCACUUUGGAGAUGCAGUCCUUUCCCAUUGCUCCUGGAAGGAGCAUAAACCCUGGGGUUAUUCAAGACAUCUUACUUCAAACCAGGUAAAGUCAAGGGAAAAGUGCUGCUCACAGAGUGAAUUCCCAGCUCCGUUACUAUCAAAGGCAAUUUUGCCUUUGUUCAGUAUUUUCUGAACAAGAGUCUUCCCGUUUAGGAAGCAACGUCCCCCAGAAACUUAGAGGAAAUGUACAAAAUUAUAGGACAGGGUGAGUGCUAAACCUUAAGCUUACAAACAAGCAAAAAGAGCAGCAGAUAGCCAAUAUUUCUGUGCCUUUCCAAAAGCCUUUUUUUUUUUUUCCCCAUCGUGGGCAAUAGUAUUGAAACUGGCAUAAUCCACAACCUAGACCAGACUUUUUAAGUGAAGUGGUUGAAAUCAAAAGGUAUCUAGGGUUUGUUUCUUUGUUUGUUUUUUUAAAUUGUGCUUUUUGGUAAAAUAAGCCAUAGUGCCAUCCAGUUUUGCCAGAGUGGAUAUUAAAUGUUAUGGUAUUUGAAGUGGGCCUCUGCGUAGCAACACCAUUGUGAGCUUGUCCAGAAUGUCCCGGUAACACUGGCUGUCACUUUUUUACCUCUUUCCCUGCAAAGUUACCCAUCCCUAGGUUUCUGGCAGCCGGUAAUAUCCUCCCUGCUCACUGUAUGGAAGGAGCAUGGUGAGAGUUUGUGGAAGACUAAUGAACCAGCGCUGUGUUGGGAACUAUCAUAACCUGGUGUAGUUGUCUUUAUUUGCGAUGUGUUCUCAUGCCACUUUGGGAGGUGCCGGUGGGAGAAAGACACUCCUCACUCAUGCUGUUUGCCAAAAUUUCCAAGAGUGAACAUCCCCCAGCGUGGUUUGGGUGUAAUCUGGUCCAGCAGUUCUUGCAGAGCUACGUGUAAGUUUGCAGUAUAUCAGACGUUAUCAACUGACGAGCAAAAUGACUUAUCAACAUUACAGUGGUUGUACUUUGACAGGUAUUCAAACUGAAAGAUCAAUUUACAUUUUCUGAAAGGAAAGAAUAUGCAGUAGAUUAGUUUUGAAAUGGUUUUUAGUACAAGGAAUGAAACUACUUACAUCGGUGAUUUUCUAAGGUUACAUUUGGUUUUGCUGUAUUUUUAUUCUCCUCUUCUAGAUGCAAUUCAUAUUUGCUAAGGAUUCUGAGCAUUGCAUUAGAAUAAGGAAGACUUGGAGGGCAAUUUCAGAAAAAUAGAUAUCCAAAUCACUACCAUAAUCCUUCUGGCUCUUUGAAAAUGAAAAGUAGAGUGUUUCAGAGAGCUGUUUAUUGGAAAGAUUAGUUUUAUCAUGAAAUUAUUACUUCAGCACAUGGUUUGAGAUUGGCCAUUACCUUAGAAAGUUCACAGAUGAAAACACAGGGAGAGCUGCCAAUGAAAAAGACCUAAUGACUGAAAGAGUCUUUUCCUUGGGUGCUUUUUUUUUUGCCUAUAGCUAUGUAUUGGCUUCACCUGGGAGAAGUAAACAAUCUGUUAAAAGCCAAGGAUAGAAAAAGUAAGUUAAAGCUCUACUGUAAAUUCUGUAAAUCGACUGAUUUUGUAGGAGAAAGCCAUUUUACUUAUUUAUUAAUAGUGCUAGGUAAAUGUUGAAAAAACCCAAAGUAUUUAUGAACGAGUGAUUUUUAAAAAUACACUUUUUUGUUCUUUCUUCAGGAAUAAUCUGGCUGUGUUUACGCGGCAGACUGGAAAAGAGCUCUUAGUCCUUUUGAAUGCGUGUGUGCAUAUAUGAACAGCAUGUGAUGAUAUAACAGACCCAUUAAAGGGAAGGCUUUACAUGCAAAAGGCAAAGACAAUUCCUCUGAUGUUUGGUAAUGCGUUGACAGCCUUAACCUAGCUGCUUUAUUAGAGGUAACCCCUUGGGGAAGACCUCAUCUAGAUCACCUAAAAGCAGAAACCAAUUGCUGCCAAUUGAAUGCUCUAAGUUUUCUUGCAGCACCAUUUCACAAUCUGCCUAGUUUAGCUGUGGAAGGACCCCAGGACCAAACUGUCUUUCAUUACGUAAUGGAGACUCAGUUGCUGUUAACUGAAGCUCUGAAUUCAUACUCCUUCCACAUAUGGAAAACUCUCAUGUCCAUAGUGAUGGACCUUGAAUAAAUAUAUGGAUGGAUAUGUACUCAUGGCCAUUCCUGAUAUGGAGACACAUAUGUUGGAAGAAGACUUCUACUGUCGUAGUCUUUCAUUGUAUUUUCUCAUUUGCUCUUUUUCCAUUUUGGUUUGAUUUUUGGCCAGCGUAGGAAUUUUCUUGAGUAAAACCUAAAUACUUCCAUCAGGAAUCAGUCCCCCUGGGUUAAAAAAAUGGAAGUUAAAGGAAAGCGGGUUUUGAAGUUCAGAGUCGUAUAGUGAAUUUUCAUGUCAAUAUAGCAUUUUUGUGAUGAGAGGCAAGGGGUAUUAUUGAAACUUCAGCAGAGAGGGGCGAAAGGAGAAUGAGAUCAGUGUCCCUUUAAAUGUCUCACACAGGUUGCAUGAAAGCAGGCUUAUAUCAGUCUCCGGAUACCAAGGUUUUAUUUAUAAAAAUAAAUUCUUCCAGAAAAUGUCCCCAACUGGUGUCAUGUUGUUGAGUGCUAAUGGCUACAUUAGCAGUUAGCUGCAGUUGUACAUAUGUCCAUCCAUCUGCCUUAUGACUUUGUAUCCGAGGAAGGUGCUGUGCGUUAGUUACUCUGUGUAAAAGUCUGCUUUUAAUGUGUGUAAAGAAAAAGAUUGCAGGCGGUGGUGAUACACUGGGCUAAAGCCACUUAUUGGUGGCCAGAUUAAGCCCUUUGCUCUAGACACACUUGUCCCUGGGUAGAAGGAACCACAGUUAAGCCCAGGCAAUAAAAUGGAUUUAAUGGAAUUAUGGACAUGUCCUUUUUCAAUUUUUUUUCUCAGUCAAUCCUACAGUUUUAAUUUGUAAUUGAAUACCUUUUAAAUUGGCAAAACAACUCUUCUUCGAGUGGGUUGGUCUAUUUAUUUUGCACAAGGUACUGGAGUAUUCUUGCUGGGAGGGGGUCAGAUGCUGCAAAAUAGUAUUUGCACUUUCUCAUUGCAGUUCAAUUGCAGUUCAUUUUGCCUACACCUGGGGCGGCUUUUUACUUGCCACAGGUAAAAAUUUCCCUUUUGGCAGGCAGCCAGAGUGAGACAACGCAGAUUCAAAUCUUAGUGGGACUUUGCACCAAGUCUCCACGUGAGGCUAGAAUUUAUAAUAGAAGACAUACCGUUGCAAUGGGAAGAAUAGAAGUACCUUGCUUGAUAAGGAGGGGUUACUGUCAUGGGAAUAUGUUGUUUAUUCAUUUCUUACUAUUUCUCUGUUUAGGAAGUUUCAGUCUUCCAGUCAGAGAGAAGAGACACAGACAUUGAAAGCCUGUGGAACUCUUGAUGGGAACAGACAUUUCCUGACUCUGACCACAAUAAGAUGUCUGCUACUUGUAACGCUGCAGUCCUCUCCCCCACCAGAUCAAUUCAAAAUCGAUUAUAUGCAUCUAGGGCAAAUGCAAUGGAACAGGCAAGCUGCGGAUAGAAUGUGAAAUGAGCAUGCAGGAUUGCCAGCUGUGGCACUUAAAUCUCAGAAAUAUGUCCACCUCUCCACCCGCUCAUCCCCACAAGGAAAUAUUUGCCUGGAAUACUGUAAGAAUAGAUGCCCACCUAAGUGUAUCGGGUUUUUCUUUUCAUUUACCAGCAGUUUGAAGUAGUUAAAGCUCUUCUGAUUGCAGCUGUGAUACUUCAUGCUGUCAUUGAUUUCUGUAAAGAAGGUGCUACGGUUGGUCUGCGCUUCCCAUGGUUGACCACAGCUUCACCUGGUCGUAAAGGCUAGGUGUGAAUUCUUCCUUCUAGCGAGAAAAACACAUUUGUGCAUGCUGGUGUGAAGCUUGCUGGCGAGGAGAAGAGUCAGGCUUUUGUUUGAACUGGAAGGCUGAUGAACAGACUUUUUAGAAGGUGGGAAGGUACGGACAACACAGCAGAUGGAUACAAAGUGGUCGACGUGGCAGCCCAUCCUUUCAGAGAGGGGGGAAACACGUGUGUGUGUCCAUGAAGAGAAAGAGCAGGGACUACUUAAAAAGGGAAAUGCACCAAUGCCUUAGGAAAACAAAAAGUGAACCUGCAGACUUUGUUCCUCUCUGCAAGAUGACCCGCCUUAGGAAUGCAAAUUUGCAGACUGUUCCAGGGUGAUCUGUGAGAAGAAAAUGGGAAACGCUGCCUCUAUCUCUGCCCUGUCCGGUAGCUGUCCUAGGAGCAGCCUGGAACCUGAGAUAAUUUGGUGCUGCUAAUUCUCCCAACGUCUUCCAGAAAUGGGAAAAAAGGAUCUAUAUUAGGAAACGUGUUCUUCCUUUCUUCAGCAAAAUUGCGCAUCAAACAACCAGAAUUUGCAGUUUCCAUCUGCUACAAGCUGGGCCUUGGGUUGGAGACAUAGGGCAGCAGGCUGCUGCUCUCUGAAGGAGCACAGGAUUUAGGAUCUAUCUGCACCACAGUACGAAGAGUUCGUUUACCUCUUCCUGGAACAAGGCAGUCCAGCCCGCUUGCUCUCCCGGCGCCAUGACAAAGGGAGGCUUUGCUUCUCGUCUCGCUUUAAUGAGAAUAAUACAGAGCUGCUCAGCUGCCCUCACCCUUGCUUACUUAACAGCACCUCAAUCCUGCACAGAAAAAUGCAGUGGGAAAACUCAAUAUCCACGUGGCGCAUGUUAUGCUCAUCUGUUCCUCAGUAAUUACCGUGAUACCCGUGGUGAGCCACCCAGGCAGCCACUGCACAGGAAAUGAAAAUGUGCUAAAUGAACGUAGUGGAGAGGAUGGGCAGGCCAAUGAAGACACCUUAAAACAAGUGGCUUCCCUCAGAUGAACGGAGGAACAAACACAUGCAUUGUUUACACGCUGUUCAUCAACCUCAUCAUACU